CCACACUGCGGUAAUUCCAGCUCCAAUAGCGUAUAUUAAAGUUGUUGCAGUUAAAACGCUCGUAGUCUGAUGUAAUGGGGACUGGUGUGGGGAGCAGCAAUGCUCUUUGCUUCGGUCCUCAUCAACGGGACAGCAAUGUCCCAUUUUACUUUGAGGAAAUUAGAGUGUUCAAAGCAGGCGAUUGCUUGAAUACUGCAGCAUGGAAUAAUGGAAUAGGACUCGCGUCUUAUUUUGUUGGUUUGGAGAUGUGAGUAAUGAUGAAUAGGGACAGUUGGGGGCAUUGGUAUUCAGUAGUCAGAGGUGAAAUUCUUGGAUUUACUGAAGACUAACUAGUGCGAAAGCAUUUGCCAAGGAUGUUUUCAUUGAUCAAGAACGAAAGU
RNAcentral lists this ribosomal RNA (380 nucleotides) under uncultured eukaryote. Its description in RNAcentral is "SSU rRNA". It matches the Rfam family "Eukaryotic small subunit ribosomal RNA", at positions 567 to 990 of the family's 1831-position model. The record is from RNAcentral.